Non-coding RNA from Camellia sinensis, 1473 nucleotides. The record is from RefSeq and is a predicted model, not a curated record. NCBI's taxonomy places the organism in Eukaryota, Viridiplantae, Streptophyta, Magnoliopsida, Ericales, Theaceae.
GUUUGGCCAAUGGAUGAAUUAAUCUUCUCACACGUCCCAUUUCUCAAAGAUUGUCCAAGUUCAAGGUCACCCGUGACAGAAAGAUGAGGUUUGGAUUAUGGACCAGCACUAAUUCUUCUCCCUGGGGCUACUUCUCUAAUUGGGAUUUUUCAUUGAAAUGUUGUUUUCAACCUGCAAAAACUUGCUAGUUCCAAUCUGGUUUAUGUAAACUGGAGCUUCAUUUGAUUAUUCUGGAGCUUGAAGGUUUGAUGCUCAGUGAUUUUUCAAUUCGAUUGGGCAAAUUGAAGCAAUUCUGUUAGAAGAUCACUCUUACGAAAAGAAAGAAAAGUUCAAUUUUUUUUCUUCUCCGGAAUUUCCAUUUCAAUUGAUCGCAAGACCACAAAAUUUUCUGGAAUUUCCGAGGGACUCACCAACUCCUACUUCUUCGAGCUCCACACAUCUCGUGUGCCAUCAAUGGUUGGAGCUCUCCCCAGAGUUCUAGUUCCUCCAUUAUGGAUGUACUGUGCAAAGCUAACCAUCUUGCUCCACAAACUCCUAAUGCUCGGAGUAGUAAUGUUGCCUUGGCUUGCUUGAACGUGAUUCCAAUAAUUCUUUAGUAUGUGAAUUAGGAAAAACAUAAAACAGAUGAUGGAAGUGAUGCCGGAGAUGAGGUAUAGACCCCAGAAGCUUUGGAGGUUCAAGCUAUCUACUUUGUGGCAGAAUCGGCAUUUGAAUAAUUAUUGGAGGACACCUUAGACCACUUUUCUCGUAUUUUUUUUUAGAUCACCUGUUCUCUGAUAUGGUUAGAAUGGUGUAGACACCUCAUUUUUUACGGCCCUUACAACUUGGACAUUAUCGCCUGCACACCCAAUUAUGAGUCUAUAUGCUUGUCAAGUGCUUGAAGUCCUCAGCGGAAUGCUACAGCUUUGAGCCUUUCAAACCUUGCACCCUUGUUGCCCUGUUUUGGACCAAACCCAGUGAUCUUCAAGCCUACAACCUUUGGUGGCCUGCCGGCCACCUUUAGGGGCUGCCGGCCAUCACUCUUGGUUGCCGGCCACUAGUGAUGGCCGACCGGCCACAAAUGUCUUUUGUAGAUAUUUUGUGACAGUUGUGCUAGCUGUUUUCACAGAUGCUUGCAUUUGCUCCCACGCGUAUGGUUGGAUGUUCUUGAGGGAAAUUCAUGUUUUCUAUAUAUAGAGAGCUUCCCCUUUUGCCAUGGGGUUAGAAAAAUUUUGGAGCAAAAUUUUUCCUCUCUCUCUCUCUCUCUCUACAAUUCUUUUUCCCUACCAAAUUUCUUAGUCUUUGCCUAUAUACUCUUCACCUUUGCCUAUACACUCUUAACCAAAUCUCUCUAUCUUCAAGUUGAGGUGUCAUUGAGCCUUGUUUGAGCUCUUGAGGGUGUGUUUGCUUGGUUUUAUUGCUUGGAAUUGAUUUCCUCUUCAAAAGGUAUAAAGCAUUGCCUCUUUACUUGCUUUAUCUACUCUUUUUCUUGCA